RNAcentral lists this transfer RNA (64 nucleotides) under Gonioctena intermedia. RNAcentral's name for it is "tRNA-Glu". It matches the Rfam family "tRNA". Rfam says of the family: Transfer RNA (tRNA) molecules are approximately 80 nucleotides in length. Their secondary structure includes four short double-helical elements and three loops (D, anti-codon, and T loops). The record is from RNAcentral. Lineage: Eukaryota; Metazoa; Arthropoda; Insecta; Coleoptera; Chrysomelidae.
AUUUAUAUAGUUUAAUAAAACAUUACAUUUUCAUUGUAAAAUUAGAUAUUCUAUCUUAUAAAUA